Non-coding RNA from Brachypodium distachyon (stiff brome), 109 nucleotides. NCBI's taxonomy places the organism in Eukaryota, Viridiplantae, Streptophyta, Magnoliopsida, Poales, Poaceae. The record is from Rfam.
UGCUUGCUAGGAUGAAAUCACAAGGACGGUAUCUGAGAAAGGUAGCUCUUGAAAAAGUGCAGCCUCUUUGAUUAUUCAUCCAAAACUGAUCAAAUAUUCUGAGCAAUCA